This 305-nucleotide unclassified non-coding RNA is filed under the name uncultured Verticillium. RNAcentral describes it as "sequence contains ITS1". The stretch from base 1 to 105 matches the Rfam family "5.8S ribosomal RNA", at positions 50 to 154 of the family's 154-position model. Lineage: Eukaryota; Fungi; Ascomycota; Sordariomycetes; Hypocreales. The record is from RNAcentral.
GAAAUGCGAUAAGUAAUGUGAAUUGCAGAAUUCAGUGAAUCAUCGAAUCUUUGAACGCACAUUGCGCCCGCCAGCAUUCUGGCGGGCAUGCCUGUUCGAGCGUCAUUUCAACCCUCGAGCCCGACUCUUUUGAGGACGGCUCGGCGUUGGGGGACGGCAGACUCCCCCCGGCAUCUCGCCGGGGACGCCGCCCCCGAAAUCUAGUGGCGGCCCUCCGAGGCGACCUCUGCGUAGUAACUUGUUCUCGCACCGGAAAGCUCAGAGCGGUCGACCUCGGAUCAGGUAGGGUUACCCGCUGAACUUAA